This 292-nucleotide ribosomal RNA is filed under the name uncultured bacterium. RNAcentral's name for it is "partial 16S ribosomal RNA". It matches the Rfam family "Bacterial small subunit ribosomal RNA", at positions 505 to 796 of the family's 1533-position model. The record is from RNAcentral.
GUGUCAGCAGCCGCGGUAAUACGGAGGGUGCGAGCGUUAUCCGGAUUUACUGGGUUUAAAGGGUGUGUAGGCGGGCUAUUAAGUCAGCGGUGAAAUCUUCGGGCUCAACCCGGAAACUGCCAUUGAUACUAUUAGUCUUGAAUACUGUGGAGGUAUGCGGAAUGUGUCAUGUAGCGGUGAAAUGCUUAGAGAUGACACAGAACACCGAUUGCGAAGGCAGCGUACUACACAGUGAUUGACGCUGAGGCACGAAAGCGUGGGGAUCAAACAGGAUUAGAUACCCCAGUAGUCC